This is a long non-coding RNA of Sinocyclocheilus anshuiensis, 1360 nucleotides long. RefSeq lists it as uncharacterized. The transcript is spliced from 4 exons. Lineage: Eukaryota; Metazoa; Chordata; Actinopteri; Cypriniformes; Cyprinidae. The record is from RefSeq and is a predicted model, not a curated record.
CAAAACAGUAAAACAAUGACUGUGUGAUUCAACGGUCUAGCUUUGCCUCUUUAUUUUCGUCGGUGCGGCUACAGGACAAAGAGCAGAAGGGACGUUUGGACCUACUGCCAGCAGGCUGUAACAGACAGAUGGGUUUUCACACAAACAACAGAAAACAUCAAGAGCAGUGAAGCUGGCACACACAGAAGAAGAAGCAGCAAAGGGGAGAAAGUUUGGAUAAUGAGGCACUGCUAGCAGGAGAUGAUAAUUCACUUUGUGCUGUGAGAAGACAAACUGUCCACUCUGUGUAGAGUUCAACUCCAUAGCUGCAAAGCCAUAUGGAUAUUCUGUACACAAAGUAUGAUCUGACUGAAGUGAAAUAUAAUAACCAGCAGAUGGCGGGCAAGCGUCAGAAUCCUGUUGAUAUCAGAACCACACAUCAAUGAAGUUUUGCAAGCAAAGGACAAUACCAAGAGAGACUGCAAAGAGGCAGCUGAUUUACACUUCACGUUCUGAUUGCACUUCUCAUCCUUUCAUCUCCAAAUAUCCUUCAGAUCUUUAUUGUAUAGGUGGCGGCACAUUGGCACCAUAUGCUCAGCUAUUUCCAUCAAUGCUGCCAUUAAGCCUCUAUUUUGUUUAAUCUCUGUUCUGAAUCCAGCACUCCUUUCACCCAAACACUGAAUAAUCCAUCCUGAUUGGCCAUUCAGGGGGGUCAUUAUUUCUAGGUCUAGGAUUUGGGACUCCUAUUUCACGUCACUGACACUCUGUUAUGUUCAUGUCAUCGUCUGGCGGCCGCAGCUUAUGAUGGGAUUUAUUUGGAGACAAAUUCAUGAAAUAUGAAAUAUGUCAUGCUGUGGGUUAGUCUUUUUAUAAUUGCAUUCAAAACUAUUGCUGAGACAUAAGACUGUGAUAAUAAUAGUAAAAAUUCUGUUAGAAAAAGGUUUAUUGCUGCUGAUUUUCUUAUUAAAAUGUCAUUUAAAUUUGUAAGUACAAAAAGGACAAGCAUUUUAAUAUCUGUCGAGUUCAAUUUGCACUUUUAGGGAUUAAUAUAUUGUAAUGUAAAAGAUUUCUCGAUUACUAAAUUGUUUGGCAUCUGGCAAUGAGAUGAAUUGUGAUGUUACAAAUGUGGGUGGAGUCACACAUACACACCAUAUGUAGACAUUCUGGAUGGUCUUAGUAGGAAAUGGAGUUCUAGAAACGACGAAAUGGAGAGAAUGACCUUUGAGAUAGUAAGGAGGAUUUUGUUUAUUGCCCUACAUUGACUGCUAACAGGACAGCUGUGAUUAUACAAGUUGCUGUACCUAAGAAGAAUUAUUGCCCAUUAAACAAAGCAUCAUCACCUGAAUUCAUCUGCUUUCAAACACUGCAUACCGUCCCUCUC